Hippocampus comes (tiger tail seahorse) is the source of this 197-nucleotide long non-coding RNA. RefSeq lists it as uncharacterized. The transcript is spliced from 2 exons. The record is from RefSeq and is a predicted model, not a curated record. Lineage: Eukaryota; Metazoa; Chordata; Actinopteri; Syngnathiformes; Syngnathidae.
CUAAAAUUUGAGAUUUAGUGUUGUGCCAACACUAUCGGCAAGUGCAUCAAGUUUCAUUCAAAUCAAAAUCCACUUGGUUAAACCCACUACAUGAUUUGGCAUGGAAGGACCAACGACCUCCUAGAUGGCGCCAAUUGGAUUGUAAAUCUAGUUUGGACCAAUUUGGAGACCCAAGCACUCGAGUUUUAUACUGAAUU